Molecule: ribosomal RNA, 468 nt
Filed under: uncultured bacterium
Lineage: Bacteria
Description: partial 16S ribosomal RNA
Rfam family: Bacterial small subunit ribosomal RNA
Source: RNAcentral
GACGAACGCUGGCGGCGUGCUUAACACAUGCAAGUCGAACGGAAAGGCCCUGCUUUUGUGGGGUGCUCGAGUGGCGAACGGGUGAGUAACACGUGAGUAACCUGCCCUUGACUUUGGGAUAACUUCAGGAAACUGGGGCUAAUACCGGAUAGGAGCUCCUGCUGCAUGGUGGGGGUUGGAAAGUUUCGGCGGUUGGGGAUGGACUCGCGGCUUAUCAGCUUGUUGGUGGGGUAGUGGCUUACCAAGGCUUUGAAGGGUAGCCGGCCUGCUAGGGUGACCGGACACAUUGGGACUGAGAUGAGGCACGGACUCGUACGGGAGGGAGCAGAGGGGAAGAUUGUACAAGGGGCGGAACCCUGGUGCAGCAACGCCGUGUGGGGGAUGAGGGGCUGGGGUUUGGAAACCGCAUUCGCCUUUGACGAAGUGUGAGUGACGGUAAUGGGUAAAGAAGCACCGGCUAACUACGUG